This 466-nucleotide ribosomal RNA is filed under the name uncultured beta proteobacterium. RNAcentral's name for it is "bacterial SSU rRNA". It matches the Rfam family "Bacterial small subunit ribosomal RNA", at positions 984 to 1449 of the family's 1533-position model. Lineage: Bacteria; Pseudomonadati; Pseudomonadota; Betaproteobacteria. The record is from RNAcentral.
ACAUGUACGGAAGCCCACUGAGAGGUGGGCGUGCUUGAAAGAGAACCGUAACACAGGUGCUGCAUGGCUGUCGUCAGCUCGUGUCGUGAGAUGUUGGGUUAAGUCCCGCAACGAGCGCAACCCUUGUCAUUAAUUGCCAUCAUUUAGUUGGGCACUUUAAUGAGACUGCCGGUGACAAACCGGAGGAAGGUGGGGAUGACGUCAAGUCCUCAUGGCCCUUAUGGGUAGGGCUUCACACGUCAUACAAUGGCCGGUACAGAGGGUUGCCAACCCGCGAGGGGGAGCCAAUCCCAGAAAGCCGGUCGUAGUCCGGAUUGUUCUCUGCAACUCGAGAGCAUGAAGUCGGAAUCGCUAGUAAUCGCGGAUCAGCAUGUCGCGGUGAAUACGUUCCCGGGUCUUGUACACACCGCCCGUCACACCAUGGGAGUGGGUGAUACCAGAAGUAGUCAGUCUAACCGCAAGGAGG